Molecule: long non-coding RNA, 2046 nt
Organism: Homo sapiens (human)
Lineage: Eukaryota; Metazoa; Chordata; Mammalia; Primates; Hominidae
Exons: 2
Source: RefSeq, a predicted model, not a curated record
UCUAUGGAAAGGACAAUGCACCGGACAAAAGGCCAUUUUGUCCAGGAAAAAGGAGGAAUGUUACAUCCAAAACAUACUUUCUGAAUUCCUACUAUGUGCCUGACUCAGGCCUAGGAGCUGGGAAUACAAAGAUGCAGUCUUUGCCCUUGAGGAUGGCAAUACAACGGGAGACAGAGACAAGCAACAAACAAUACACUGCGAUGAGCUACAGCAGAAAAAAACUCUUAAUUCAGAAGCGUUUCCUUGUAAGGUAAUUCAUAUUUAUUCAACUUGUACCCUACUCAAAGACCAAAUUAAAUUAUUUCAUUAUUCCCAAGAACUUUCGAAGGGAUAAAAAGGGUUCAUGCCAACCAUUACUAAUGCCUACUAGUGCCACAGACUGGGAGCUCCCUGAGGGCAGGGAUGGCGCUAACCUACCCUCGUAUUCUCUGUGGCAGACAGACAAGUGCCGCACGAGGGAUGCAGCAACCACAGAGGGAUGCGGGGCUUGGAGGUAGGGUUGGGGCCGGGGCUGGCUCGAGCGCGCUCGGGACGUACAGGAAGGGGCCAGAUGCGAUGCUCCACGAGAGCACCAGGCACUCAGUCAAGAGUUGGGCGUAAGUUCGGGCCAAGGCCUCGAAGCGCUCCGGCGACUGGCUAAUCGCUCAAAGGGGCUGCCUAAGUGAGCGCCUUUGAGCCCCCAACCCCGGGUUUCUUCAGUUCCUGGGCCUGGGCUCCAGGCUCUCGGUUCUUCAACACGUCGCCCGGCCCGGUGCAGCAAACAGUUUUUCCUCAACCAUUCCGGGGUUUCUGAGCCGUUCGGCUCGCAGCAGAAAAGUAAAAAAAGAGCCGCCCUUCCAGCCCAGGCUAGCUCCGGCCGGGCCACUCUAGCCCUGGCCGCCCCGCCACUCACCAGGUUGGGCAGUCGAACAGCGGGAGGCUAGAGCCGGAGUUCGCGGCUGCCGCCAUCUUGCGUCUCCCCCUCCCAUUUGGCGCGCCCUAAGCACGCCGGGAAACUGGAAGACCGAGAAGGGAAAAGCGGCAUCCCAGCAGCCUACGCGUUGGGAGGAUUAUCUGACCAGUUUUUCCUUUUUUAAAUAAAUCAAUUGCUAAGUUCCUGUUCAUCCAGAAAGAGGCACUGCUCAGCAAGUUGAGGAAUCUAUGAUGAAAGUAGUUCUUUUCUUGCUUCCAUGCUACUGGUUCUGUAGAAAAUCAGCCUAUUCAAAAGAUUUUUGCCCUUGAUGAAGUCUCCAGCCCUCAAGAUUUAACUGCAAUAUAACUUAGAAGGAGUGAGAAGAUCAAAAAAGUAACUGCAAUAUAACAUUAACUUGGAUUUUAAGAUUAUCAACUCUUAGGUAGACUGGAGAAACACCUUUUCCUCUGGCCUUUAAAGCACAAUAAACUUAUCCAGCAAGGAUGGCGACUAAUCAGAUCACUUAUCAAAUGGCCUGUUAAUAUCCUCCUUUUCAGCCUUGUGAUUCCAAAGUAAGACUAGGCUGAUUGGAAAAAUUCAAAUUCUAAACUUGGUUUCAAGAAAACAGAAAUAAUCCUAUGUCCCUCUCUUCUGAAUACAGGGCAUGAUUUUUUAGAAGGAAUUAGUCCCAAAAGUUUUUGAGUCUAACAGAAAAGAAGAAGAUACUUUUACCUACAGAAAUUGUGUGGGCCUUUGAGGUUCUAUGCUCCUUUUAGGCAUAACAUGGUGUUGAAGCCAUUUGCAGUUAGCAGUGACCUGAUAGUAUCUUAUGGCAACUUUGUAUUUCAACUUCUCAGCUUGUGUGAUCCUUCUAUUGCUGACUAUAGACCCAGGAAACCUAAAAGCUACAUCUUACCUUUCUAAUUCUUUACUCCUUGGCCAUGUUCUGUUUCUAGCACAGUAGAUAUUCACACGUGGCACCUUAUGCUUACCUAGGCCCUCAUAAAGCAAAAUGCUCUUUGUUUGGGCACCAAUGAUGUCAGUAUAGACCAGCAAACUAGAGGGCAGCAAUCUAGGUCCUUAACCUUUUAAAAUAGACUGAUGUACUAGCUGCCUUUGGAUUUUGGUAUCUCAAUAAAGAGAUUAGUAUGUUG